RNAcentral lists this non-coding RNA (31 nucleotides) under Mus musculus (house mouse). Lineage: Eukaryota; Metazoa; Chordata; Mammalia; Rodentia; Muridae. The record is from RNAcentral.
UGCAUAUGAAACCCCAAGCCUUUCCUCAGGA